This 256-nucleotide ribosomal RNA is filed under the name uncultured bacterium. RNAcentral's name for it is "partial 16S ribosomal RNA". It matches the Rfam family "Bacterial small subunit ribosomal RNA", at positions 524 to 776 of the family's 1533-position model. The record is from RNAcentral.
UACGUAGGGGUGCGAGCGUUAAUCGGAAUUACUGGGCGUAAAGUGUGCGCAGGCGGCUUCGCAAGUCGAGUGUGAAAUCCCCGAGCUUAACUUGGGAAUUGCGUCUCGAAACUGACGGAGCUGAGUGUGGCAGAGGAAGGUGGAAUUCCACGUGUAGCGGUGAAAUGCGUAGAGAUGUGGAGGAACACCGAUGGCGAAGGCAGCCUUCUGGGCCAACACUGACGCUCAUGCACGAAAGGCGUGGGGAGCAAACAGG